UACGAAGGGGGCUAGCGUUGCUCGGAAUUACUGGGCGUAAAGCGCACGUAGGCGGAUUGUUAAGUCGGGGGUGAAAUCCUGGAGCUCAACUCCAGAACUGCCUUCGAUACUGGCGAUCUCGAGUUCGGGAGAGGUGAGUGGAACUGCGAGUGUAGAGGUGAAAUUCGUAGAUAUUCGCAAGAACACCAGUGGCGAAGGCGGCUCACUGGCCCGAUACUGACGCUGAGGUGCGAAAGCUGGGGGAGCAAACCGG
RNAcentral lists this ribosomal RNA (253 nucleotides) under uncultured bacterium. RNAcentral describes it as "partial 16S ribosomal RNA". It matches the Rfam family "Bacterial small subunit ribosomal RNA", at positions 524 to 776 of the family's 1533-position model. The record is from RNAcentral.